RNAcentral lists this ribosomal RNA (514 nucleotides) under Macrosemia matsumurai. RNAcentral describes it as "partial 16S ribosomal RNA". It matches the Rfam family "Archaeal large subunit ribosomal RNA", at positions 1921 to 2666 of the family's 2987-position model. Lineage: Eukaryota; Metazoa; Arthropoda; Insecta; Hemiptera; Cicadidae. The record is from RNAcentral.
GUCUUUUAGAUAAAAAUUAAAAGUCUAGUCUGCCCAAUGAUUUUAUUGAAUGGCCGCAGUAAAUUGACUGUGCGAAGGUAGCAUAAUAAUUAGUCUUUUAAUUGAAGGCUUGUAUGAAUGAUUGAAUGAAAUAUUUACUUUAUUAAUAAAAUCAUUAUAAUUUAAUCUUUAGGUUAAAAAGCCUAAAUACUUAAGUGGGACGAGAAGACCCUAUAGAGUUUUAAAGUAUUAUCAUUAAUAUAACCUUAGAAUUAUAUAUUUAUAUUAAUGUUUAUAUAUUUUUAUGUUGGGGUGACAUUAAAAAAUUAUUAACUUUUAAUAUAUAUUACAUUUAUAUAUGUCUAUAUUGAUCCAAUAUAAUUUUGAUUUAGAAGAAAAAAUUACCUUAGGGAUAACAGCGUUAUUGUUUUUUAGAGUUCAUAUCAAUAAGAUAGUUUGCGACCUCGAUGUUGGAUUAAGAAUAUAGUUUGGAGCAAAAUCUAAAUUUUUAGGUCUGUUCGACCUUUAAAUUCUU